GUCCUAUUGAUUUUGAUUUUAGGUCGGACCUGCCCAAUGAUUUUUAAUUUAAUGGCCGCGGUAAUCUGACCGUGCAAAGGUAGCAUAAUCACUAGUUUUUUAAUUGAAAGCUUGAAUGAAAGGUCUGAUGAGAAAAUGACUGUCUCUAUCUAAAUUUAUUAGAAAUUUAUUUUUAAGUAAAAAAGCUUAAAUAUUCAUAGAAGACGAGAAGACCCUAUAGAGUUUUAUAGUUAUUGUGAAUAAUUUGGAUUUAGGAUCUUAUAAAUUGUUCAUAAUAAUUAUUUGGUUGGGGAGAUUAAAAAAUUGAGUGAACUUUUUUUGUAUAUGAACAUUGAUGUGUGAGUUUUUGAUCCUUUGUAUAAAGAUUAAAAGAUAAAAUUACCUUAGGGAUAACAGCGUAAUUUUUUUUAGAGUUCUGAUCAAAAAAAAAGAUUGCGACCUCGAUGUUGGAUUAAAAGAAAUUAUUGGUGUAGAAGCUAAUAAAUUAGGUCUGUUCGACCUUUAAAAUUUUACAUGAUCUGAGUUUAAACCGGCGUGAG
This 539-nucleotide ribosomal RNA is filed under the name Cryptorhynchinae gen. sp. ARC4855. RNAcentral describes it as "partial 16S large subunit ribosomal RNA". It matches the Rfam family "Bacterial large subunit ribosomal RNA", at positions 1830 to 2625 of the family's 2925-position model. The record is from RNAcentral. Lineage: Eukaryota; Metazoa; Arthropoda; Insecta; Coleoptera; Curculionidae.